Molecule: transfer RNA, 72 nt
Filed under: Camelus bactrianus (Bactrian camel)
Lineage: Eukaryota; Metazoa; Chordata; Mammalia; Artiodactyla; Camelidae
Also listed under: 1 other name
Rfam family: tRNA
About the family: Transfer RNA (tRNA) molecules are approximately 80 nucleotides in length. Their secondary structure includes four short double-helical elements and three loops (D, anti-codon, and T loops).
Source: Rfam by way of RNAcentral
GAGGGUGUAGCUCAGUAAGAGAGUAUGUGCUUAGCAUGCACGAGAUCUUGGGUUCAAUCCCCAAUACCUCCA